UCUGCCCUUAGAAGUGUUGCAGGUGUGGCUGCCAUGUCACCUAUGUGUCCUUAGGUGGCAGACAGGAAGGAUGCUAUGUCUGUGCUUAGUUUUUUGGCCUCAGAAUAUUUAAUUGAUUAGCUGCCUAAAAUU
Small nucleolar RNA from Arvicanthis niloticus (Nile rat), 132 nucleotides. RefSeq annotates it as small nucleolar RNA SNORA17. Lineage: Eukaryota; Metazoa; Chordata; Mammalia; Rodentia; Muridae. The record is from RefSeq and is a predicted model, not a curated record.